GGAGCUUGGAUUGAUAAACUGAAUAUAGGAGUGAAAUCUGGAUCUCCAGGCAUUAUUCCAUGUCAAUAUGAAAAACAAUAUCAAGAAAAUCACAAGUAUUGGUGUCAGGGGAUGUUUUGGAGCUCUUGCACUAUAUUGGCAUUUGGAAAUGGCCCAAAAAGUAAAUUUUCCAUCACUUAUUACCCAGCACAGAGUAUCUUUACAGUGGAAUGGCAGAAACUGCAGCCGUCAGACUCUGGAUAUUACUGGUGCGCUGUGGAGAUCGGUGGCUCUGGGACCCUGGAUGCUGGAUAUUAUGUGUAUCUGACAGUACAAUCA
This is a non-coding RNA of Danio rerio (zebrafish), 318 nucleotides long. Lineage: Eukaryota; Metazoa; Chordata; Actinopteri; Cypriniformes; Danionidae. The record is from Ensembl.